RNAcentral lists this ribosomal RNA (236 nucleotides) under uncultured bacterium. RNAcentral describes it as "partial 16S ribosomal RNA". It matches the Rfam family "Bacterial small subunit ribosomal RNA", at positions 118 to 354 of the family's 1533-position model. The record is from RNAcentral.
UGAGCAAUCUUCCCUUCUCAUCGGAAUAAGCGUUGGAAACGACGUCUAAUGCCGAAUACGACCUCCUUUCGCAUAAUCGGAGGUGGAAAGCUCCGGCGGAGAAGGAUGAGCUCGCGGCCUAUCAGCUAGUUGGUGUGGGUAAUGGCCCACCAAGGCGACGACGGGUAGCCGGCCUGAGAGGGUGACCGGCCACACUGGGACUGAGACACGGCCCAGACUCCUACGGGAGCAGCAGG